This 432-nucleotide unclassified non-coding RNA is filed under the name soil metagenome. RNAcentral's name for it is "partial contains 5.8S ribosomal RNA, internal transcribed spacer 2, and large subunit ribosomal RNA". The stretch from base 1 to 119 matches the Rfam family "5.8S ribosomal RNA", at positions 35 to 154 of the family's 154-position model. The record is from RNAcentral.
GAUGAAGACGUAGCGAAAUGCGAUACGUAAUGUGAAUUGCAGAAUUCAGUGAAUCAUCGAAUCUUUGAACGCAUAUUGCGCUCUCUGGUAUUCCGGAGAGCAUGCUUGUUUGAGUAUCAGUAAACACCUCAACUCCCCUUUCUUUUUUUGAAAUGGGAGCUGGACUUGAGUGAUCCCAACGCUUUUCUCACCGAAAAGUGGCGGGUUACUUGAAAUGCAGGUGCAGCUGGACUUUUCUCUGAGCUAAAAGCAUAUCUAUUUAGUCUGCCUAAAAAACAGAUUAUUACCUUUGCUGCAGCUAACAUAAAGGAGAUUAGUUCUUGUGCUGACUGAUGCAGGAUUCACAGAGACAGCUUCGGCUGGCCUUUGUAAACUCGAUCUCAAAUCAAGUAAGACUACCCGCUGAACUUAAGCAUAUCAAUAAGCGGAGGA